Molecule: ribosomal RNA, 849 nt
Filed under: Candidatus Amesbacteria bacterium GW2011_GWA2_47_11b
Lineage: Bacteria; Candidatus Amesiibacteriota
Description: bacterial LSU rRNA
Rfam family: Bacterial large subunit ribosomal RNA
Source: RNAcentral
AAAGCAGACGAUGGAUGCCUAGGAUGCUAGAGCCGAAGAAGGACGUACAUGGUCGCGAUAGACGUCGGGGAGCUGCCACGAAGCUGUGAUCCGGCGGUGUCCGAAUGGGGAAACCCUCCCGAUGGAAGCAUCGGGGAGCCACGCGCAAGCGUGAGCGGGGAACGCCUCGAACUGAAACAUCUAAGUAGGGGCAGGAAAAGAAAUUACAAAGAUUCCGUAAGUAGCGGUGAGCGAAAGCGGAAAAGUCUAAACUUAUGCCGCAAGGCGUGAGGGUUGCGGGAUGUGCCAAGGGAUGAAAGAAAGAUAAUUGAACUGCCUGGAAAGGUAGGCCAAAGAGCGUGACAGCCGCGUAAGUGAAAUUUUUCUUUCCUCAAGGCCAAUUUCCCAAGUACCAUGGAGCAGAUACUCUGUGGGAAUCCGGGGUGACCACACUCCAAGACUAAAUACCCUAGCAUACCGAUAGUGAACUAGUACCGUGAGGGAAAGGCGAAAAGAACGGGCAAAACCCGAGUGAAAUAGAACCUGAAAUUGUCUGCUAUCAAGCAGUGAGAGUCCUUCGACCGCAAGGUCUCGGGAUAAUCGCGUGCCUAUUGAAGAAUGAUCCGGCGAGUUUUCGUUCAGUGCGAGCCUAACCAAGUUUAACUUGGGGAGGCGCAGGGAAACCGAGUGUUAACAGCGCGAUUAGUACUGGAUGGAAGACCCGAAACCUGGUGAGCUAACCAUGAGCAGGGUGAUCCCCCGAGAAAUCGGGGAGGAAGCCCGCACUCGUCAGAGUUACAAAUCUGUGAGAUGACUUGUGGUUAGGGGUAAUAUGCCAAUCGAACCAGGAGAUAGCUGGCUCUCCCCGAA